Long non-coding RNA from Panthera uncia (snow leopard), 409 nucleotides. RefSeq lists it as uncharacterized. The record is from RefSeq and is a predicted model, not a curated record. The transcript is spliced from 2 exons. Lineage: Eukaryota; Metazoa; Chordata; Mammalia; Carnivora; Felidae.
UCCGGAAUGCACAGGCGAUCUCAUUUGGAAUGACUAUUCUUGUUCCAGAAGCCUGGGAGCCAGAUGAGCUGGAGGCUGACUGAAAGAUGAGGUGGACUGCACCCUCCAUUUCUGAUGCCGAAACAGUCUUUCUCAGCUUCAGCGCCCAAGAUUACUUGAUCCAGGUGAAGCCAGAUGCCGUGAAGUGAGGACACUCAGGCAGUCGGUAGAGAGGCCCACAUGGGUUGGAACUUAGGCCUGCCAGCAGCCACAUGAAUGAACCUUGAAAUGGGUCCUCUGCCCCCAGAAGAUAGCACCUCUGGCCAAAUUUCCAUCCACGUGAGAGAUCCUGAGCCGGAACCACCCAGCCAAGCUUCUCCCCCCAGUCCUGACUCACAGAAGCGGAGAUAAUAAAUGCUUGUUGGUUUAA